RNAcentral lists this ribosomal RNA (497 nucleotides) under uncultured bacterium. RNAcentral describes it as "partial 16S ribosomal RNA". It matches the Rfam family "Bacterial small subunit ribosomal RNA", at positions 28 to 507 of the family's 1533-position model. The record is from RNAcentral.
GACGAACGCUGGCGGCGUGCCUAAUACAUGCAAGUUGAGCGCUGAAGGUUGGUACUUGUACCAACUGGAUGAGCAGCGAACGGGUGAGUAACGCGUGGGGAAUCUGCCUUUGAGCGGGGGACAACAUUUGGAAACGAAUGCUAAUACCGCAUAAAAACUUUAAACACAAGUUUUAAGUUUGAAAGAUGCAAUUGCAUCACUCAAAGAUGAUCCCGCGUUGUAUUAGCUAGUUGGUGAGGUAAAGGCUCACCAAGGCGAUGAUACAUAGCCGACCUGAGAGGGUGAUCGGCCACAUUGGGACUGCGACCCGGCCCAAACUCCUACGGGAGGCAGCAGUAGGGCAUCUUCGGCAAUGGACGAAAGUCUGACCGAGCAACGCCGCGUGAGUGAAGAAGGUUUUCGGAUCGGAAAACUCUGUUGGUAGAGAAGAACGUUGGUGAGAGUGGAAAGCUCAUCAAGUGACGGUAACUACCCAGAAAGGGACGGCUAACUACGUG